AGAGUUUGAUCAUGGCUCAGGAUGAACGCUAGCGGCAGGCUUAAUACAUGCAAGUCGAGGGGCAGCACAGUAUAGCAAUAUAUGGGUGGCGACCGGCAAACGGGUGCGGAACACGUACACAACCUUCCGAUAAGAGGGGGAUAGCCCAGAGAAAUUUGGAUUAAUACCCCGUAAGAUAAAGUUCAGGCAUCUGGAUUUUAUGAGAGGCGCGAGCCGCUUAUUGAUGGGUGUGCGUCUGAUUAGGUAGUUGGCGGGGUAAAGGCCCACCAAGCCUACGAUCAGUAGCUGAUGUGAGAGCAUGAUCAGCCACACGGGCACUGAGACACGGACCAGACUCCUACGGGAGGCAGCAGUAAGGAAUAUUGGUCAAUGGAGGCAACUCUGAACCAGCCAUGCCGCGUGCAGGAAGACUGCCCUAUGGGUUGUAAACUGCUUUUAUACGGGAAUAAACAAUCUUUCGUGAAAGAUCUUGAAUGUACCGUAAGAAUAAGGAUCGGCUAACUCCGUGCCAGCAGCCGCGGUAAUACGGAGGAUCCAAGCGUUAUCCGGAUUUAUUGGGUUUAAAGGGAGCGUAGGCGGCCUAUUAAGUCAGGGGUGAAAGACGGUGGCUCAACCAUCGCAGUGCCCUUGAUACUGGUAGGCUUGAAUGUAGUUGAGGUAGGCGGAAUGUGACAAGUAGCGGUGAAAUGCAUAGAUAUGUCACAGAACACCGAUUGCGAAGGCAGCUUGCUAAGCUAUGAUUGACGCUGAGGCUCGAAAGCGUGGGGAUCAAACAGGAUUAGAUACCCUGGUAGUCCACGCCCUAAACGAUGAUAACUCGAUGUUGGCGAUAUACAGUCAGCGUCCAAGCGAAAGCGUUAAGUUAUCCACCUGGGGAGUACGCCCGCAAGGGUGAAACUCAAAGGAAUUGACGGGGGCCCGCACAAGCGGAGGAGCAUGUGGUUUAAUUCGAUGAUACGCGAGGAACCUUACCCGGGCUUGAAAGUUACUGAAUGAACCAGAGAUGGUUCAGUCCUUCGGGACAGGAAACUAGGUGCUGCAUGGCUGUCGUCAGCUCGUGCCGUGAGGUGUUGGGUUAAGUCCCGCAACGAGCGCAACCCCUAUGUUUAGUUGCCAGCAUGUAAAGGUGGGGACUCUAAACAGACUGCCUACGCAAGUAGAGAGGAAGGAGGGGACGACGUCAAGUCAUCAUGGCCCUUACGUCCGGGGCUACACACGUGCUACAAUGGGCGAUACAGAGGGCAGCGACAUGGCAACAUGAAGCAAAUCUCAAAAAGUCGUUCACAGUUCGGAUCGGGGUCUGCAACUCGACCCCGUGAAGUUGGAUUCGCUAGUAAUCGCGUAUCAGCAAUGACGCGGUGAAUACGUUCCCGGGCCUUGUACACACCGCCCGUCAAGCCAUGGAAGUUGGGGGCGCCUAAAGUACGUAACCGCAAGGAGCGUCCUAGGGUGAAACCGAUAACUGGGGCUAAGUCGUAACAAGGUAACC
RNAcentral lists this ribosomal RNA (1489 nucleotides) under uncultured bacterium. Its description in RNAcentral is "bacterial SSU rRNA". It matches the Rfam family "Bacterial small subunit ribosomal RNA". The record is from RNAcentral.